AGGACGAACGCUGGCGGCGUGCUUAACACAUGCAAGUCGAACGGUGAAGCCUUUCGGGGUGGAUCAGUGGCGAACGGGUGAGUAACACGUGAGCAAUCUGCCCUUGACUCUGGGAUAACUUCGGGAAACCGGAGCUAAUACCGGAUAUGACGCAUGGCCGCAUGGUCUGUGUGUGGAAAGAUUUAUUGGUCAGGGAUGAGCUCGCGGCCUAUCAACUUGUUGGUGGGGUAAUGGCCUACCAAGGCGACGACGGGUA
RNAcentral lists this ribosomal RNA (256 nucleotides) under uncultured bacterium. RNAcentral describes it as "partial small subunit ribosomal RNA". It matches the Rfam family "Bacterial small subunit ribosomal RNA", at positions 26 to 285 of the family's 1533-position model. The record is from RNAcentral.